CAAGUUGACAUUUGGUAUUUUGACAACUCUGUCAAAAUUGCAAAGAUCAUUUAAAGCAAUUUUAAAUUAGUUAAGAUUAAGUUAAAAAAGGCAUAUUUUAGAUUAAUGAACCUUAAUUUUACCCAUAUUUAUACUUUAAGAAACCUUACUUAAUAAGUCUGGAUGUCCAUAAAGCACAGCCUGGUCUCGUUUCUUUUGCUAAAACCGACUUGACAAGAUGUCCAAGUCACUCAUGUUCCUGUCUCACUUAAGAAUUCUAAGGACUAAAACAAAUGUGCACACAAAUGGCAUUUACUUUAUAGCAAAUUAUUCAAAAGAUAUCACACCAAACUCAA
Long non-coding RNA from Agrilus planipennis (emerald ash borer), 335 nucleotides. RefSeq lists it as uncharacterized. Lineage: Eukaryota; Metazoa; Arthropoda; Insecta; Coleoptera; Buprestidae. The record is from RefSeq and is a predicted model, not a curated record. The transcript is spliced from 3 exons.